GUCCCCUCCGACCUGGGGGUUCACCUGGACACGGAUUUCCCAGACACCAGUGGCCAGGCAAACGGAAUCAGGAGUCAGGCACUGGGAAAGAAGAAAGAAGGGCAGGAGUGGCACCCAGAAGACCGGAAUUAACGCCCAGAACCGGGCUCUGGGGACAGCACAGCAGGAGGCAGCUGCCGCAGACUGGAGGAAAGGGACCUCUGCGGGCUCAGCAAGGGGAUCCCGAGAGCCCUCCGCGGACCUCAGACCCAUAGCAACUAGAGUCCAAGUCAGAAGUCCCACUUGGGUCUUUGGUGGCGGGACCUUCAGCGCAGACAUUGUGCCAUAGCAGGCAUCUUCAAGGGAAGGUAGGACCCGCGGACCAUCAUUGCACCCGUGUUUGGCGCUGCGUGCAUGUGAAUGAAGGAAACCUCGUUCCCAAGGCAGUGGGGAAGCCAGGAAGGGAGAUCUCUCAGCCACCUCCCUGGAUCCCGCAGGAAGAAGGGUUUCCUCUCCGCCCUGCAGCAGCCAGUAGCCAAUGAGAAACCGUCACCACCUGUAACUCUCAUUUCC
RNAcentral lists this long non-coding RNA (552 nucleotides) under Felis catus (domestic cat). RNAcentral's name for it is "lncRNA (ENSFCAG00000051706.1)". The record is from RNAcentral. Lineage: Eukaryota; Metazoa; Chordata; Mammalia; Carnivora; Felidae.